CCUUGCUAUAAUUGCUGCCACCUAGGAUAACUGGAAAAGUAAUGACACCGUUCAAAAGUUGCCUAAGUAUUUCCAGUCUGAUUUCGACUGGCCUUUGGGGGUGUUGAAGAAAAAAUUAAUGUUGUUCAACAUAGUGUAAGCUGUUCAGAAGAAAAGUGGAGAAUUCGAUACAUGUUUAUAUUUUGAGACUCGUGAUGAAAGAAUAUUGAUUAUUGCAUUGGAGCCAAGUGCUGUCUUGCUCUGGCUAAGGGUGGCUUAUCAACGGAUCAUGUCCUGAUUUUGCCUAUUGGGCAUUACCAGUCAGUGGCUGAACUUUUUGCAGAGGUGGUGGAAGAAGUAAACCAGUGUUGUUUGAAAGAAAUUACCAGAGUCCGCACCUACAGUUGCAGGUGAUUCCUGUACCACUCACUGUUGUGCUACUGAAGACAUUAAAGAGUCCUCUAUUGUACAAGUGCAAGAACAGAUCGAAUUACUAGAAAUCCCAGAGCACUCUGAUAUCACGCAAGCGAGACAUAGACUUCAUUCAAGAGGCAAUGAGACCUAUUCUUCA
Terrapene triunguis (Three-toed box turtle) is the source of this 550-nucleotide long non-coding RNA. RefSeq lists it as uncharacterized. The transcript has 6 exons. The record is from RefSeq and is a predicted model, not a curated record. Lineage: Eukaryota; Metazoa; Chordata; Testudines; Emydidae.